CCCUUAGAUGUUCUGGGCCGCGCGCGCGCUACACUGAUGCAUUCAACGAGUCUAAAACCUGCUCUGAUAGGGGUGGGUAAUCUUUUGAAUGUGCAUCGUGAUUGGGAUAGAUGAUUGCAAUUUUUCAUCUUCAACGAGGAAUGCCUAGUAAACGCAAGUCAUCAGCUUGCAUUGAUUACGUCCCUGCCCUUUGUACACACCGCCCGUCGCUCCUACCGAUUGAAUGAUCCGAUGAAUAUCAUGGAUUGAGGAUGCAAGCAGGUUCGCCUGUCUUCAUCUUCGAGAAGUGAAGUAAAUCCUAUCAUUUAGAGGAAGGAGAAGUCGUAACA
This 329-nucleotide ribosomal RNA is filed under the name uncultured eukaryote. RNAcentral's name for it is "partial 18S ribosomal RNA". It matches the Rfam family "Eukaryotic small subunit ribosomal RNA", at positions 1470 to 1796 of the family's 1831-position model. The record is from RNAcentral.